CAGCAGCCACGGUAACACGUAGGGUGCAAGCGUUAAUCGGAAUUACUGGGCGUAAAGCGUGCGCAGGCGGUUAUAUAAGACAGAUGUAAAAUCCCCGGGCUCAACCUGGGAACUGCAUUUGUGACUGUAUAGCUAGAGUACGGCAGAGGGGGAUGGAAUUCCGCGUGUAGCAGUGAAAUGCGUAGAUAUGCGGAGGAACACCGAUGGCGAAGGCAAUCCCCUGGGCCUGUACUGACGCUCAUGCACGAAAGCGUGGGGAGCAAACAGGAUUAGAUACCCCCGUAGUCCCUGUCUCUUAUAC
Molecule: ribosomal RNA, 301 nt
Filed under: uncultured bacterium
Lineage: Bacteria
Description: partial 16S ribosomal RNA
Rfam family: Bacterial small subunit ribosomal RNA
Source: RNAcentral